UCUGCCACGUAGCUAACCGCUGGUCUGUAAAAAGACGAGAGGAAAGUCCGGGCGGCAUAGGGCAAGUCAGUUGCUAACGGCAACCAAGAGUAAUCUUAGGGAAAGUGCCACAGAAACGACACAGCCGAAGUCCGUAAAAGGGCUGGCUAUGGUGAAAAGAGUGGGGUAAGAGCCCACAGGUUCUGCAGGUGACUGCGGAGCGAGGUAAACCCUGACUGCUGCAAGGAGGUAUAUCAACAAUAGGUGCCCGCCGUUGGUAUAUCAUAAGAUCCGCUUGAUCCGCCGAGCAAUCGGCGGGCUAGAUAGAUGGUUAGCCGCUUGGUAAAACAAGUGACAGAACCCGGCUUAUAGCGUGACAGACAAC
RNAcentral lists this RNase P RNA (364 nucleotides) under bacterium. RNAcentral describes it as "RNase P RNA component class A". It matches the Rfam family "Bacterial RNase P class A". Rfam says of the family: Ribonuclease P (RNase P) is a ubiquitous endoribonuclease, found in archaea, bacteria and eukarya as well as chloroplasts and mitochondria. Its best characterised activity is the generation of mature 5'-ends of tRNAs by cleaving the 5'-leader elements of precursor-tRNAs. Cellular RNase Ps are ribonucleoproteins. The record is from RNAcentral.